Molecule: ribosomal RNA, 494 nt
Filed under: uncultured bacterium
Lineage: Bacteria
Description: partial 16S ribosomal RNA
Rfam family: Bacterial small subunit ribosomal RNA
Source: RNAcentral
GACGAACGCUGGCGGCGUGCUUAACACAUGCAAGUCGAACGGUGAAGCGCCUUCCUUUUUGGUGGGUGUGGAUGAGUGGCGAACGGGUGAGUAACACGUGAGUAACCUGCCCCCUUCUUCUGGAUAACCGCAUGAAAGUGUGGCUAAUACGGGAUAUUCUGGGUCUGUCGCAUGAUGGGUCUGGGAAAGAUAUUGUUUCGGUGGGGGAUGGGCUCGCGGCCUAUCAGCUUGUUGGUGGGGUGAUGGCCUACCAAGGCGGUGACGGGUAGCCGGCCUGAGAGGGUGGACGGUCACACUGGGGCUGAGCCGCGGCCCAGACUGCUACGGGAGGCAGCAGGGGGGAAUAUUGCACAGUGGGGGGAAGCCUGAUGCAGCGACGCCGCAUGAGGGAUGGAGGCCUUCGGGUUGUGAACCUCUUUCGCCAGUGAAGCAGGCCUGCCUCGUUUGUGGGUGGGUUGACGGUAGCUGGAUAAGAAGCGCCGGCUAACUACGUG